AAUGCCGGAUGCUCCAGUUGAUCGCAUGGUCUUCUGGGAAAGCCUUUGCGGCAUGGGAUGGGGUCGCGUCCUAUCAGCUUGAUGGCGGGGUAACGGCCCACCAUGGCUUCGACGGGUAGCCGGCCUGAGAGGGCGACCGGCCACAUUGGGACUGAGAUACGGCCCAGACUCCUACGGGAGGCAGCAGUGGGGAAUAUUGCACAAUGGGCGCAAGCCUGAUGCAGCGACGCCGCGUGAGGGAUGGAGGCCUUCGGGUUGUAAACCUCUUUUGUUAGGGAGCAAGGCAUUUUGUGUUGAGUGUACCUUUCGAAUAAGCACCGGCUAACUACGUGCCAGCAGCCGCGGUAAUACGUAGGGUGCAAGCGUUAUCCGGAAUUAUUGGGCGUAAAGGGCUCGUAGGCGGUUCGUCGCGUCCGGUGUGAAAGUCCAUCGCUUAACGGUGGAUCCGCGCCGGGUACGGGCGGGCUUGAGUGCGGUAGGGGAGACUGGAAUUCCCGGUGUAACGGUGGAAUGUGUAGAUAUC
RNAcentral lists this ribosomal RNA (523 nucleotides) under Bifidobacterium breve. RNAcentral's name for it is "bacterial SSU rRNA". It matches the Rfam family "Bacterial small subunit ribosomal RNA", at positions 165 to 698 of the family's 1533-position model. Lineage: Bacteria; Bacillati; Actinomycetota; Actinomycetes; Bifidobacteriales; Bifidobacteriaceae. The record is from RNAcentral.